UAAACACUGUUGCUGUGGAACCUGUGCAAACAAGGCCACGCCCUUUAAUAAUUCCUUCUGAGGAUGAAGAUUCGUUGCCACCCACUCCUCCUCUUCCUCCCCGGGUCAGGGAGAAAUCUCGUGCACGUGAUGUUUACAGCCAACAACCACUGCAUUUCACCAGUCCUAAAGCUGGUCUCUCCUCCUCAUUCCCAUGUUCCUCCAAGCACCAGGCAUGUCACACGAAUACAAGAUCACUGCCAGCACUGGAAGAAAGCCUUAG
Long non-coding RNA from Ornithodoros turicata, 262 nucleotides. RefSeq lists it as uncharacterized. NCBI's taxonomy places the organism in Eukaryota, Metazoa, Arthropoda, Arachnida, Ixodida, Argasidae. The record is from RefSeq and is a predicted model, not a curated record. The transcript has 3 exons.